UCUCCGUAGGUGAACCCGCGGAGGGAUCAUUACAGAGUUCAUGCCCUACCGGGUAGAUCUCCCACCCUAUGUUAUUAUUACUUUGUUGCUUUGGCGGGCCGUUAGGCUCCGGCCCGACUACCGGCCCCGGCUGGUAAGCGCCCGCCAGAGGACCCAAAACCCUGUAUAUUAGUGUCGUCUGAGUACUAUAUAAUAGUUAAAACUUUCAACAACGGAUCUCUUGGUUCUG
RNAcentral lists this unclassified non-coding RNA (229 nucleotides) under plant metagenome. RNAcentral's name for it is "partial contains small subunit ribosomal RNA, internal transcribed spacer 1, and 5.8S ribosomal RNA". The record is from RNAcentral.